GAGAGAGAGAGAGAGGCACCAAAGGUAAUGUUUCUCAUUCUCCAAAAUUCAAGCUUAUCUUGCAAAGUAUCCUCUUGACCUGCAGUAUGAGAGUCAGAGCUAGACAAAGCUCUAGGUCAUUGCAUGUAUUGAAGUGGCUGGGAUUGUAAUUUGCAGAAGGCCGUGUACUUUUGUGGCCUCAGUAUGUCUUAGUAGGUAUACUUUUUUCAUAUUAUGCAUGAUAUUUAGGCCCUAUUUGGGGAAGCUUUUGGAGGGCCAAAAAGCACUUUCUGACCCUCCAAAAG
RNAcentral lists this long non-coding RNA (284 nucleotides) under Phoenix dactylifera (date palm). Its description in RNAcentral is "long non-coding RNA (PDAC_LNC022004)". Lineage: Eukaryota; Viridiplantae; Streptophyta; Magnoliopsida; Arecales; Arecaceae. The record is from RNAcentral.